RNAcentral lists this transfer RNA (72 nucleotides) under Camelus bactrianus (Bactrian camel). It matches the Rfam family "tRNA". From Rfam's summary of the family: Transfer RNA (tRNA) molecules are approximately 80 nucleotides in length. Their secondary structure includes four short double-helical elements and three loops (D, anti-codon, and T loops). The record is from Rfam by way of RNAcentral. Lineage: Eukaryota; Metazoa; Chordata; Mammalia; Artiodactyla; Camelidae. RNAcentral also lists the same sequence under 1 other name.
GAGGGUAAAUUUCAGUGGUAGAGUGUGCGCUUAGAAUGCAUGAGAUCCUGGGUUCGAUCCCCAGUACCUCCG